This 521-nucleotide ribosomal RNA is filed under the name Streptococcus suis. RNAcentral's name for it is "bacterial SSU rRNA". It matches the Rfam family "Bacterial small subunit ribosomal RNA", at positions 297 to 810 of the family's 1533-position model. The record is from RNAcentral. Lineage: Bacteria; Bacillati; Bacillota; Bacilli; Lactobacillales; Streptococcaceae.
AGGCUGUACGGCCACACUGGGACUGAGAUACGGCCCAGACUCCUACGGGAGGCAGCAGUAAGGAAUUUUCCACAAUGAGCGAAAGCUUGAUGGAGCGACACAGCGUGCAGGAUGAAGUUCUUCGGAAUGUAAACUGCUGUUAUAAGGGAAGAAAAAAUAGAAUAGGAAAUGAUUUUAUCUUGACGGUACCUUAUUAGAAAGCGACGGCAAACUAUGUGCCAGCAGCCGCGGUAAUACAUAGGUCGCAAGCGUUAUCCGGAAUUAUUGGGCGUAAAGCGUCCGUAGGUUUUUUGCUAAGUCUGGAGUUAAAUGCUGAAGCUCAACUUCAGUCCGCUUUGGAUACUGGCAAAAUAGAAUUAUAAAGAGGUUAGCGGAAUUCCUAGUGAAGCGGUGGAAUGCGUAGAUAUUAGGAAGAACACCAAUAGGCGAAGGCAGCUAACUGGUUAUAUAUUGACACUAAGGGACGAAAGCGUGGGGAGCAAACAGGAUUAGAUACCCUGGUAGUCCACGCCGUAAACGAU